AGAACUAAUCUGUCUCCCUCCCCCAAUCAGUGAAACUGAUCUCCCCGUGCAGAAGCGGGGAUAAUAUCAUAAGACGAGAAGACCCUGUGGAGCUUAAAAUCAAAAAUCAACUGCUUCUCCCACCUAUACUAAARAAACAUUUUCCGCAAGCCUGAUUUAGAUUUUCAGCUGGGGCGGCUGUGGAGAAAAAUAAAUCCUCCACGAAUAUUUAUGCUGAAAGCCACCGCGAUAGGCAUUAAUAAACUUAAUUUUAAUUGACCCAAUUUUUGAUCAACGAACCAAGUUACCCCAGGGAUAACAGCGCAAUCCACUUUCAGAGUCCUUAUCGACAAGUGGGCUUACGACCUCGAUGUUGGAUCAGGGCAUCCUAGUGGUGCAGCCGCUACUAAAGGUUCGUUUGUUCAACGAUUAAAGCCCU
This 418-nucleotide ribosomal RNA is filed under the name Leptobrachella minima. RNAcentral's name for it is "Leptolalax minimus partial 16S ribosomal RNA". It matches the Rfam family "Bacterial large subunit ribosomal RNA", at positions 2007 to 2597 of the family's 2925-position model. Lineage: Eukaryota; Metazoa; Chordata; Amphibia; Anura; Megophryidae. The record is from RNAcentral.